This 1179-nucleotide long non-coding RNA is filed under the name Oryctolagus cuniculus (rabbit). RNAcentral's name for it is "lncRNA (ENSOCUG00000029805.1)". The record is from RNAcentral. Lineage: Eukaryota; Metazoa; Chordata; Mammalia; Lagomorpha; Leporidae.
UGCGGGAGUAAGGGCUGCUGGAACCUUAGCGCCCUCCUCCCCCAGAGAAGAAAUGGGCAAGUUCGAGGCCCGGUCCGCACGGAGGGCGACAGGCGCGUCCUGUGGGCGCGGGGUGAGGGCAGACACACUCGGAGCCAGAGGGAUCCCGAGUCUCUGGGAGAGGCGUGGGCGGUGGGGCAGGGGUGCGGGCAGGAGGCAGGCUCGCCCUGCGGCGUGGACACCCGGGGAGCUGCGCGCUCGGGGAGCCGCGGGGCGGGGGCCGGCCGCCCUUCUCCGCGCCCCCUCGCCGGCCCCUUCCUCAAGCGCACAGGCCCCCAGGCUUUCCCUUCCAUCUUAGGCCUCUUCCUCCGCGAACUCCCGGGCCCGCUCCUCUCCGCACGCCCUUGCCGCCUGCUGCGCUCUAAGGGCCGCGUUCCCUCCACGCCCUCCGCAUCCUGCCCUCUUGCGGGUCCCUCUCUCCGCCUUUCCCCCGUCCUCGCCUGCGGCUCCUUCGCCUUUUCACCGUCUCUCGGCGUCUUCUCUUGCCGUCACCUCCCAAGCCGGAAACUUAUCCCGACCGCGAGGACCCUCGCAGGCACGGGUGUUCCCCGCGGGGUCUGCGGGUCCCAGCGCCGCUCCCCGCGCCACGAGCGCCCCGCCCAGUCCCUGGCGCCACUCGGAAGCCCCGACCGCGGCACCCCUUUCGCCCAGAGAGACUCCGCGGGCCGGAAGCGGGCUGGGGUGGGGGGGGCUCCCUUCUCAGUAGCGGGUUCCUCCGAGAGCGGGGAAGCUGGGGGACCGCGGACGGAUGCGGGCUCCGCGCCCCGCGGGCCCUCGCUCCAGCGGAACCGCGCACUCCACAGCGCCGCGGCGGGUCUGCGGGGGCUGGGGGAGGCAACAAGUGACCGGACUUGCAGAGAUCCCGGCCCCUGUGGCUGGGACCGCGGCCAACGCACCCCUGGGGAGGGGGCUGGCGGGGCGGCCCGAGGCGAAGCUGCUUCCGCGCCCGCUUUGAGGCGCCGGCUUGAGGGAGAGGCGGGGCGAGCUGCAGGAGCGCGGGGACCGAGCUCUCCCAAGUCCGAAGCCGCCGUCCCCGGCUCCUCCGGCACCCGCGCCACCAGCACCAUUUCAAGGGCUGGGGGGCUGGGUGGAGACGGUGCGGAAGCGGUCCCCGCGGAAGCGUUUCGGGACGUGGGGUGA